RNAcentral lists this ribosomal RNA (515 nucleotides) under uncultured bacterium. RNAcentral describes it as "bacterial SSU rRNA". It matches the Rfam family "Bacterial small subunit ribosomal RNA", at positions 28 to 526 of the family's 1533-position model. The record is from RNAcentral.
GACGAACGCUGGCGGCGUACCUAAUACAUGCAAGUCGAGCGGACCAAAGGGAGCUUGCUCCUGGAGGUUAGCGGCGAACGGGUGAGUAACACGUGGGCAACCUGCCUGUAAGACUGGGAUAACAUCGAGAAAUCGGUGCUAAUACCGGAUAAUAAAAAGAACUGCAUGGUUCUUUUUUGAAAGAUGGUUUCGGCUAUCACUUACAGAUGGGCCCGCGGCGCAUUAGCUAGUUGGUGAGGUAACGGCUCACCAAGGCAACGAUGCGUAGCCGACCUGAGAGGGUGAUCGGCCACACUGGGACUGGGACACGGCCCAGACUCCUACGGGAGGCAGCAGUAGGGAAUCUUCCGCAAUGGACGAAAGUCUGACGGAGCAACGCCGCGUGAGUGAUGAAGGUUUUCGGAUCGUAAAACUCUGUUGUUAGGGAAGAACAAGUGCCGUUCGAAAGGGCGGCACCUUGACGGUACCUAACGAGAAAGCCACGGCUAACUACGUGCCAGCAGCCGCGGUAAUGU